Cinara cedri is the source of this 216-nucleotide non-coding RNA. The record is from the annotation of a GenBank genome assembly. Lineage: Eukaryota; Metazoa; Arthropoda; Insecta; Hemiptera; Aphididae.
UGUAGGUAGUAAUGCGGUGAAAAAUAAUGAUUUAUGAUCAGAUACUUCUUUUUCCGAUUAUUUUAGCGUAUUUUUGAGAUUUUAAAAAGUACUGGACAUUUUUUUAAUUUUUUUUUAGUUACAAAUUAAUACUAUUUUAUGUUUACAUUUAUGCAAACACAUUUUACCGAACUUUGUUUAAUGAUUUAUCGUUACGUAUUUUUUUUUUUUUUUGUU